Molecule: long non-coding RNA, 216 nt
Filed under: Solanum tuberosum (potato)
Lineage: Eukaryota; Viridiplantae; Streptophyta; Magnoliopsida; Solanales; Solanaceae
Description: long non-coding RNA (STUB_LNC006345)
Source: RNAcentral
UCCCCUCUCUAGAUCACAUAUAAUAGUGUUAUAUUUUUAAAAAUAUUUAAAUAUAGAUGUGUGAAUCCACGUUUAAAGUAUCAUAUAAUAAUACAAUAAUGAUUGAGUGCACCUCUCUAAGUAAGAAUAAAAAUUUAAGUCUUAUAUCUAUCUUGUCCUUUUGAGUAACACCUCCCCAAGUGGUUAUCAAUUAUACUUUUGAUGUUUCAACUAAUU